CCUACGGGUGGCAGCAGUGGGGAAUAUUGGGCAAUGGGCGCAAGCCUGACCCAGCAACGCCGCGUGAAGGAAGAAGGCUUUCGGGUUGUAAACUUCUUUUCGCAGGGACGAAGCAAGUGACGGUACCUGAGGAAGAAGCCACUGCUAACUACGUGCCAGCAGCCGCGGUAAUACGUAGGUGGCAAGCGUUAUCCGGAUUUACUGGGUGUAAAGGGAGUGUAGGCGGGGACGCAAGUCAGAUGAGAAAACCCAGGGCUCAACCUGUGGACUGCAUUUGAAACUGUGUUUCUUGAGUGCUGGAGAGGCAGACGGAAUUCCUAGUGUAGCGGUGAAAUGCGUAGAUAUUAGGAGGAACACCAGUGGCGAAGGCGGUUUGCUGGACAGCAACUGACGCUGAGGCGCGAAAGCGUGGGGAGCAAACAGGAUUAGAUACCCGUGUAGUC
RNAcentral lists this ribosomal RNA (443 nucleotides) under uncultured bacterium. RNAcentral's name for it is "partial 16S ribosomal RNA". It matches the Rfam family "Bacterial small subunit ribosomal RNA", at positions 338 to 795 of the family's 1533-position model. The record is from RNAcentral.